RNAcentral lists this long non-coding RNA (1056 nucleotides) under Rosa chinensis. Its description in RNAcentral is "sRNA RchiOBHm_Chr4g0407151". Lineage: Eukaryota; Viridiplantae; Streptophyta; Magnoliopsida; Rosales; Rosaceae. The record is from RNAcentral.
UAGUUCCCAAUUCUCAUCUACCUCCAAUCUGCAACUCCAAUUCCUUAAAUUCACCGUCUUCUAAAUCUUGAUCAUCGAUCAAGGCUGUUUUGUUGCAAUUGAAGCCGAAGCCGGCGAAUCAGAAGAAGCCCUUGAUCUCAGAGCAAUUUAGACUCGAUCCUUCAAUGUCCAGUACUAGGCGUUAUAGCUGAGUUCUGAUGAUAGUUGACAAUGCGUUUCCUCUGUCGCAUCAAUAUGAAUUUCGAUUGAUUUGGAAAUUGGCAUCGUUUUGGUUAGCUUUUGCCUGUUGCUUUUUAUGGGUUGUUUUCUUCAACAAGUAUUAGUUUUGGUGAAUUAUGUUGGGUAUUUAUGGGAUUCAGGUUUUGGUUAUGUUUGAUUAUUAUUGGGUUUUGAUGCUGUUCUUGAAAUCUCAUGUUUGGUUGCUGGGAAAUUGAAGCAGGACAAGAAGAGAGAAGAAAAUGCAGUGAACCUUUUUUGGUUGUUAGUUUGAGUUUAUUAUGCAAGUCUAUUGGUUUUACUGUUGUUGCUUGAAGAUUAUUAGUUUGAUUAUUGAGUUGGUAGUGCUAUAGGAAUUUUAGAUUGCCGUACUGAUGAGUUUAGGAAUUGACAGGAGAGGAAUACCAGUUUGAAGAAUUUGUGCAGGCGGAUUCCGAACUUCGCUCCCCAGAAGCAGGCAUAUCAAAGAGCCAAAUUCACAACACUAAGGCCGUGGAAAACUGAAGUUAUCUCGAAGAAAGUAGUCAUUGCACUUGGCAAGAGUGUAGCUGGAAGUAUCAAAGAGUAAGUUGUGACUAUGGAUUUUGAGGGUCUGACUAUUUGAAGAGUAUAGGAUUAUAGAGGGAUUUUAUAGUAGGUUGGGAGAAGCCCAAUGUGUUUAUGAAUGUCCCUAUUUGACAUCCAACUAUAUUGUUGUUCUGUUGUCAAAGCUUGCUGUUCUUUUUUUUUCUUUUUCAUGCUGCAUACAUAAAUAUGCUAGAAGGUGAUCUACUGAUCUAGAAUGUGAUCUUUGGGUUGUCAAAGAAUGCAUCUAGGUCCUAGAUUUGGCCCAGUCUAAUC